GCAUAUCAAUAAGCGGAGGAAAAGAAAAUAACAAUGAUUCCUCUAGUAACUGCGAGUGAAGAGGGAGAAGCUCAAAUUUUAAAUCUGUUAGGUUUACCUUAACCGAGUUGUAAUUUGAAGAAGCGUUUUCUGCGAAUUUGGUUAGUUUAAAUCCUUUGGAAUAAGGUAUCAUGGAGGGUGAGAAUCCCGUUCGGUUAACCAAAGCGCUUUACGAUACGCUUUCAAAGAGUCAAGUUGUUUGGGAUUGCAGCUUAAAAUGGGAGGUAAAUUUCUCCUAAGGCUAAAUAUUGGCGAGAGACCGAUAGCGAACAAGUACCGUGAGGGAAAGAUGAAAAGAACUUUGAAAAGAGAGUUAAACAGUACGUGAAAUUGUUGAAAGGGAAACGAUUAAAGUCAGUCGUACCUACGAGUAAUCAACCUACUCGAGUGCGAUUUUGUGGGUAUGUUAGAGCUUAAAAACCUUCAUGCUUACAAAUUGGUGCUCUUUGGGCGUACUUUCUCGUAUGGUAGGUUAACAUCAAUUUCGAUCGUUAUAAAAUGACUGGAGGAAUGUAGCUUCGAUCUCGGUUGAAGUGUUAUAGCCUUUGGUAGAUGUAAUGAUUGGGAUUGAGGAUUGCAACGGAUACCCUCUGGGCUAUUCGUCUGAUCUCUGGAAGUUACUUUGGUGUCGAAAGCGUGCUUACGAUAUUAAGGUUGACAGCCAAUAGGUUAGAACGUGAUUAAAUUCGUUAAGGAUGUUGACGUAAUGGCUUUAAACGAC
This 760-nucleotide ribosomal RNA is filed under the name uncultured Glomus. Its description in RNAcentral is "eukaryotic LSU rRNA". It matches the Rfam family "Eukaryotic large subunit ribosomal RNA", at positions 38 to 648 of the family's 3401-position model. Lineage: Eukaryota; Fungi; Glomeromycota; Glomeromycetes; Glomerales; Glomeraceae. The record is from RNAcentral.